GACGAACGCUGGCGGCGUGCUUAACACAUGCAAGUCGAACGGAAAGGCCCUGCUUUUGUGGGGUGCUCGAGUGGCGAACGGGUGAGUAACACGUGAGUAACCUGCCCUUGACUUUGGGAUAACUUCAGGAAACUGGGGCUAAUACCGGAUAGGAGCUCCUGCUGCAUGGUGGGGGUUGGAAAGUUUCGGCGGUUGGGGAUGGACUCGCGGCUUAUCAGCUUGUUGGUGGGGUAGUGGCUUACCAAGGCUUUGACGGGUAGCCGGCCUGAGAGGGUGACCGGCCACAUUGGGACUGAGAGACGGCCUAGACUCCUACGGGAGGCAGCAGUGGGGAAUAUUUCACAAUGGUCGGACGCCUCAUGCAGCAACUCCGCGUUCGCGAUGACGGCCUUCGGGUUGUAAACCGCUUUCGCCUGUGACGAAGCGUGAGUGACGGUAAUGGGUAAAGAAGCACCGGCUAACUACGUG
This 468-nucleotide ribosomal RNA is filed under the name uncultured bacterium. Its description in RNAcentral is "partial 16S ribosomal RNA". It matches the Rfam family "Bacterial small subunit ribosomal RNA", at positions 28 to 507 of the family's 1533-position model. The record is from RNAcentral.